GGGAGCCCCAGGCGCUAUUGGGAGCACCAGGUUCUUUCCUCCACGACGGGGGGUUUGAGAAGAGUGGGCAGAGAAGCCUCUGGAGGGUUUGUCCCUGCCCUUUGUGACUUCAAACACACGAGAAAGGGAGUCCCAGGGGACUCUGGCCAAAUUUACCAAGAUCGUCUGAACUGUAAGAACCUUGAGAUCCUUAAUCCCCAAGGAUGCCCGCUGCUUCUCUCCUGUGCUGCCUAGCAUGGUCUUCAUGCAGAGCGUCUAGUGAGUUUGCUUUACUUUACUAAGGAAAAGAAAGCCUUUAAUUGAGAGGCUGCUCUUUCAAAAAUCUGUCACUUUUCAAUUCAAUUUUUAUGGUUUUUAAAGCAAUUAUACUGCCCUUUCCCCUCUGAAAAAAUCACACCUCCUCCUGUCCGUA
Molecule: long non-coding RNA, 412 nt
Filed under: Mustela putorius furo (domestic ferret)
Lineage: Eukaryota; Metazoa; Chordata; Mammalia; Carnivora; Mustelidae
Description: lncRNA (ENSMPUG00000026741.1)
Source: RNAcentral